GAUGAACGCUGGCGGCGUGCCUAAUACAUGCAAGUCGAGCGAACGGACGAGAAGCUUGCUUCUCUGAUGUUAGCGGCGGACGGGUGAGUAACACGUGGAUAACCUACCUAUAAGACUUGGAUAACUUCGUGAAACCGGAGCUAAUACCGGAUAAUAUUUUGAACCGCAUGGUUCAAAAGUGAAAGACGGUCUUGCUGUCACUUAUAGAUGGAUCCGCGCUGCAUUAGCUAGUUGGUAAGGUAACGGCUUACCAAGGCAACGAUGCAUAGCCGACCUGAGAGGGUGAUCGGCCACACUGGAACUGAGACACGGUCCAGACUCCUACGGGAGGCAGCAGUAGGGAAUCUUCCGCAAUGGGCGAAAGCCUGACGGAGCCACGCCGCGUGAGUGAUGAAGGUCUUCGGAUCGUAAAACUCUGUUAUUAGGGAAGAACAUAUGUGUAAGUAACUGUGCACAUCUUGACGGUACCUAAUCAGAAAGCCACGGCUAACUACGUG
This 497-nucleotide ribosomal RNA is filed under the name uncultured bacterium. Its description in RNAcentral is "partial 16S ribosomal RNA". It matches the Rfam family "Bacterial small subunit ribosomal RNA", at positions 28 to 507 of the family's 1533-position model. The record is from RNAcentral.